This 480-nucleotide long non-coding RNA is filed under the name Triticum aestivum (bread wheat). RNAcentral describes it as "long non-coding RNA (TAES_LNC025068)". Lineage: Eukaryota; Viridiplantae; Streptophyta; Magnoliopsida; Poales; Poaceae. The record is from RNAcentral.
UAGGCGAGAUAACCGAUUUUGCUGUAUAGAUCAGCUAGCAGGAGACAUAUGAUAUGUGCCGUCACCUGAAGGUUGCUGUUUACUAUGGGUUUGGGUAGUAUGUUUUGCCCGUCGUUGGCUGUAUGCCUUGAGUUCCACAUGUUUCUCUUGGAGUUUGCUACAGUCUAUGCCUGCAAGCAGUGCAAAUAGGUUGAUCAACAAGUCAGGAAUGUUUAAACAUGGAUGGGAGGGUGUACUAUGUUUUUGAAAUAACAAGGAUGACCUGCUGCUGGAGUUAUAUCGCCUUGGAAAUUGGAGUUGGAAGAUGCGGAUGGUAUAGUUGGAGCUGUUGGUUCUUGUGGAGUAGCCAUUUGUUGCAUGACAUCUGAAAUACGUGAUGUUUUGUGUUUCUUGUAGUCCAGCUUUCUUGCCACAUCUAUUCGGGAUCGCUUACUUGACCAUCCAAUUGAUCCGCUUAUAGUAUCACUCUGGCUCUGGGAA